Molecule: ribosomal RNA, 608 nt
Filed under: uncultured bacterium
Lineage: Bacteria
Description: bacterial SSU rRNA
Rfam family: Bacterial small subunit ribosomal RNA
Source: RNAcentral
CCUACGGGAGGCAGCAGUAAGGAAUAUUGGGCAAUGGACGCAAGUCUGACCCAGCCAUGCCGCGUGCAGGAUGAAGGCCCUUUGGGUUGUAAACUGCUUUUAUCUGGGAAGAAAUCCACUGUUUCUACGGUGGUUGACGGUACCAGAGGAAUAAGCACCGGCUAACUCCGUGCCAGCAGCCGCGGUAAUACGGAGGGUGCAAGCGUUAUCCGGAUUCACUGGGUUUAAAGGGUGCGUAGGCGGGUUUUUAAGUCAGCGGUGAAAGCUCCGAGCUUAACUCGGAAAUUGCCGUUGAUACUAUUAAUCUUGAAUUUAGUUGAGGUGGGCGGAAUGUGUAGUGUAGCGGUGAAAUGCUUAGAUAUUACACAGAACACCUAUUGCGAAGGCAGCUCGCUAAACUAAUAUUGACGCUGAGGCACGAAAGCGUGGGGAUCAAACAGGAUUAGAAACCCUGGUAGUCCACGCCCUAAACGAUGAUUACUCGAUCCGUGCGAUACACUGUACGGGUCUAUGCAAAAGCAUUAAGUAAUCCACCUGGGAAGUACGACCGCAAGGUUGAAACCUUAAAGGAAUUGACGGCNGAGAGUGCGAGACGACACGAGGGAGAG